UACACCCGUAUUCUAAGAUGUUUACUCAAAACUGCCUUCACUCGGUCCUCAGCCAAGGCCACCUUAAGGGAUUCUCGAAAUCUCCUUGAAAUCGGUAUUCUUAGUUGGCACCUCAACCUUAGCUGAGGUUUCCUCCAGUGAGGAAGAGUGGAGGUAUGACGUCAUUGUUUUCGUAUUAUUUUGUUGGCAGCAUGAUAGAAUUCUGUUGGCUGUGGUCACGUUUGUAGUUUAUGGGAACAUUUAAACGUCAAACAAAUUGUCAAAUCGACUUUGACAGUUGAUUUCGCGGUACCGGCUUUGUUUAUUUGCACCUGCAGCCCCUGCAGAUCCAGCCCCUGCAGCACCCGCUAAUACCUCACCUGGCGAAGGACCAUCCCAAAUACAAAGAGCUAUUCCUGUGGAAGUUGAUAUUGAAAUAAUGGAUAUUCCAUAUCGUCCAUCAGUCGGGUCUCGUCUCUCCGAUUAUGAACCACCUUCUCUAAUUCAAGAGCCUGUUCCUGAGCCACAAGUAGAGCUACCUCGUCGACCAUCAACUGGAUUGAGAGAACAUGACUAUGGAGCACCUUCCCAAACUCAAGCUUCAAAGAACAUUCGGGCUCGUAAUUAACCAGGAGUUCACCUUGCGAAAGGAUAGAUAUCAGGUGAUAGUGGACAGGGAGGAGGAGCUACACAAAUUGAGGAUAGCAGAGCGGGAGUGGCUCGUGAAGGCAGCUGAGGAGACAUAUCAUAAAGCUCGCCUUGAAAAGGAAAGUGCGCAGGCGUUGCUGCUAUGCAGCCGGGCUAAGCGAGAGCUAGCAGAGCUGCAUCUUUCUAGAGAAAGAAAGAAAUAAAUUGAUAGUUUUUAUUACAUUUU
Molecule: long non-coding RNA, 853 nt
Organism: Pectinophora gossypiella (pink bollworm)
Lineage: Eukaryota; Metazoa; Arthropoda; Insecta; Lepidoptera; Gelechiidae
Exons: 4
Source: RefSeq, a predicted model, not a curated record